GACGAACGCUGGCGGCGUGCUUAACACAUGCAAGUCGAACGAUGAUGUCUGGUGCUUGCACCAGGCUGAUUAGUGGCGAACGGGUGAGUAACACGUGAGUAACCUGCCCCCGACUGCGGGAUAAGCCCGGGAAACUGGGUCUAAUACCGCAUAUGACGCCUGGCCGCAUGGCCUGGGUGUGGAAAGUUUUUCGGUUGGGGAUGGGCUCGCGGCCUAUCAGCUUGUUGGUGGGGUAAAGGCCUACCAAGGCGACGACGGGUAGCCGGCCUGAGAGGGCGACCGGCCACACUGGGACUGAGACACGGCCCAGACUCCUACGGGAGGCAGCAGUGGGGAAUAUUGCACAAUGGGGGAAACCCUGAUGCAGCGACGCCGCGUGAGGGAUGACGGCCUUCGGGUUGUAAACCUCUUUCAGUAGGGAAGAAGCCUUUCGGGGUGACGGUA
RNAcentral lists this ribosomal RNA (444 nucleotides) under uncultured bacterium. RNAcentral's name for it is "bacterial SSU rRNA". It matches the Rfam family "Bacterial small subunit ribosomal RNA", at positions 28 to 477 of the family's 1533-position model. The record is from RNAcentral.